AUGGAUAAUGACUGCGGAAAGGAUUGCAUUUGGAAUGUAAUAGAAAGCAUCAGUUAAACAAUAUAAAGAAAGAAUGACAACAGCAGCAGUAAAGAUACCAGCAAUAGGUGUUUUUACUCCUGCUUUGGCUUUAAUGGCCGAACGAGAAAAGGAUCCUGUAGCUGGAUAGGCAUUGAAAAAUAUACCUAUUAGAUUAGUUACGCCCAUUGCAAUCAAUUCCUGGUCUGGAACAAUUCGGUAGUCAUUGACUCGACCAAAUGAUUUGGCAAUAGAAAUAUGCUCAAGCAGUAAUACAAUUACUGAGACUGGAAGCUCACUCGCCAAAUCACGACAUAAUUUUUUAGUAAUAAGCGGAACACCAACAUGCUGAAAUCCUCUAGGAACUGUUUUGAUGAUAGAAAUAGGAGGAUCUGAGCGAUGAUGUUUGCAUAUCGCGUAAGAAAUGGCUGUACCAACGAUAACAACCACCGCGCUUCGUAAAGUGUUAGUUAAGAAAAAAGCUUGCUGCCAUCUAGGAUAUCUCUUCCCCAAAUAUUGGCACAUAUAUUUUGUAAAAAACAAAAUAAACAAACUGACUAAUCCAAAAGCAGCGUCUACCGUAGUAUCUGGUAAAUGUUUUAACGAUUGGAUAAUAACCAUAUAAGUAGCUUUAGCAGUGACUUUAUUUUUAUAUCCCAUUAAAGCUGGAACCUGACCGGACAAGAUGUUUAAUGCUGAACCUGUAGUAAAUCCCGCGACAGCUGGAACUGGAAUGAAUUCAAUAAUAAACCCUAGCCUCAAUAAACCUAUUCCACAAGUAAUAGCUCCGGCUAGCAAAGCAAGACAUGUGGCUAUUUGUGGUGCUGUAUAUGUUUCGUCUUUAGCCAUAACGUUAGCUAUUACUUUAGCGGUAAUUAAACUCAUAACAGCGACAGGUCCAAUGGAAACGUCUUUUGAGGUUGCGAAAAAGCAAUAUAUAGCAACACCAACAAAUGAAGAAUAUAACCCGUAUUCAGAUGGAAGGGUUGCGACUUUGGCGUAAGACAUUCCUUGGGGAACAACAACGCAUCCAACGGUAAUGCCAGCAAUAAGAUCAUUUAUUAACCAGUAAGGAUUGUAGUUUGGAAGCCAUUCAAUGAUAGGAAAUAAUGAUUUGAGAUAAUGUAAGAAAUUUUUGAAAAUAUUGCUUGUGACAUUUUUUUUGAACCAUUGAGGUAUACUGGCAAGUUCGUCUAACUCAUCAUCUUCAGGAAUUUCGUAAUAAGCUUUUACACGAGAAAUAGUCCUACCGAAAGUAGUAGUUUGCGCAUUCUGAAAUUGUGCGUUAUUUUGGGUAUAAUCGUUAUGAUCAUUCUGAGAAUUGUCAAAUUCAUUAAAGCGAUCAGGAUAGUCCUUGUUUGACGCACCAUCGUUAUAAUCAUCUUCUGAAGAGAAUUUAUUACGAACCCAACCCCAAGCGCGCAUUGUUAAAAUGUUUUUUGCAGUCUUCUAGGCUCGAUUCUGUUUUGGUUUUCAGAGAAAUAUGAAGGAAUCAAUAAAUUAGAUACCCUCUCUUGAAGAAGUUUAUUGAAAAGAUAUGAGAUAAAGCAAUUA
RNAcentral lists this long non-coding RNA (1572 nucleotides) under Schizosaccharomyces pombe (fission yeast). Lineage: Eukaryota; Fungi; Ascomycota; Schizosaccharomycetes; Schizosaccharomycetales; Schizosaccharomycetaceae. The record is from RNAcentral.